Molecule: ribosomal RNA, 976 nt
Filed under: bacterium OTU4
Lineage: Bacteria
Description: bacterial SSU rRNA
Rfam family: Bacterial small subunit ribosomal RNA (bases 1-558)
Source: RNAcentral
GGGCAGACGGACUUUGAACAAAAGCUUUUUUUUGGGUCGUUAUCGGCGGAGGGUAAGUAAGACUACACGUAGUCGACCUGCCCUCUGGCUUGGCACAACUACCGGAUACGUUAUCUAAUAUCGUUUACUUGUUUUCUUCGCCUGAAGUAAACUGGACAGACGGAGCAAUCUGUCGCUUGGGGAUGGGCCUGCGGCGCAUUAGCUAGUUGGUGAGGUAACGGCUCACCAAGGCGACGAUGCGUAGCCGACCUGAGAGGGUGAUCGGCCACACUGUGACUGAGACACGGCCCAGACUCCUACGGGAGGCAGCAGUAGGGAAUCUUCCGCAAUGGGCGAAAGCCUGACGGAGCAAUGCCGCGGGAGUGAUGUAGGUUUUCGCAUCGUAUAGCUCUGUUGCCAGGAAAGAACGCUUGGCAGAGUGUCUGCUCUCUAGGCGACGGUACCUGAAAAGAACGCUCCGUCUAUCUACGUGCCAGCAGACGCGGUAAUACGUAGGGCGCUAGCGCUGAUCGAAAUUAUUGGUCCAAUGGGGGGGGGGAGGCCCCGAUGAUAUCUCUUGUAGUUUCAUCCCGGCGCUCGUACUCCCCUCGCAGUGGUGCUCUGUGUGACUUGAGCGCCAACAAGGGAGAUUGCAACCCCUAGCGCAUAGCACUCUUUGGUUUACGGGGGUGAACUACCAGGGGUAGCCAAUCCUGUUUGGUUCCCACUGCUAUCGCGCUCAGCGAUCAGAUACAGACCAAACAGAUGCCAUCGCCACUGCAUGUCCUCCCCACCUCUACCAUGUCACCGCUACGGGAGGGAGAUCACACUCCCUCUCUGACUCAAGAUACGAGAUUCCGUCCGGAGCGGAGGUGGACCGGAUAAAACCAACUACUGACGCCUGCGCCGCUAGCUGAGAUUCGUAACGCAUGGCUAGCUAACCGGCCUGGUCCGAUACGGGACUCCUAGGACCCACCUGAGGGGAAGGUAACGUACG